Molecule: ribosomal RNA, 472 nt
Filed under: uncultured bacterium
Lineage: Bacteria
Description: bacterial SSU rRNA
Rfam family: Bacterial small subunit ribosomal RNA
Source: RNAcentral
CGGAGCUAACGCGUUAAGUCGACCGCCUGGGGAGUACGGCCGCAAGGUUAAAACUCAAAUGAAUUGACGGGGGCCCGCACAAGCGGUGGAGCAUGUGGUUUAAUUCGAUGCAACGCGAAGAACCUUACCUGGCCUUGACAUCCACGGAAUUUGGCAGAGAUGCCUUAGUGCCUUCGGGAACCGUGAGACAGGUGCUGCAUGGCUGUCGUCAGCUCGUGUUGUGAAAUGUUGGGUUAAGUCCCGCAACGAGCGCAACCCUUAUCCUUUGUUGCCAGCACGUGAUGGUGGGAACUCAAAGGAGACUGCCGGUGAUAAACCGGAGGAAGGUGGGGAUGACGUCAAGUCAUCAUGGCCCUUACGUCCGGGGCUACACACGUGCUACAAUGGACGGUACAGAGGGCAGCUAUACAGCAAUGUAGUGCGAAUCUCAAAAAGCCGUUCACAGUUCGGAUUGGGGUCUGCAACUCGACCC